ACAGAAGGCUGUUAUAUAAGCUGAGUUUUUUCUUUAAGCAUAUUCAAUUAUCAAGCAUAACUGACCUUCAUUUGAAUGAUUUCGCUAACUUUGAUACAAUAGAAGUGAGGCGAUAUACCUUACCUCUGAAUCCAAUAUUCGAGGCGUCAGACAAGCAGGUAGAAGAGGAGAUCAACUACGGAGAGAUCGACUUUGCCAAGCGAGGUGCUGUGCAGAACCCAGGCCUGGUGUUCCCCCAGGGGGAGGAGCAGACCUCAGAGUACGUUGAGAUCACUGCUCAACAGGCUAAGAACACACAGAUCAGGGCUGAACUGGAGAGGAGCUGAAUAGUUUGGACUGGGAUCUCUUUAGUAUCCACUUAUGUCAGCAUGAACAUAUCCUGCUUAAAGUGUAAUUCCGGUGAAGCCAGGGUCUUUGUUUUGGCAUUUAAACUCAUCAAAUAAGCCCUCCAAAUACUUUUUUCAUUGAAAAUCAAGUAUAGAGUUUGCCCAGCACAAUGUUUGGCUUCCAUGUUAUUGGCUAGGGGCACAGCGAAAGCUUUCAAAUCUGCAUUUUUUAACCACUAAUCUAGCCAAAAAUAGCACCAAACCUCUGCAGUCGCAUGAUAUGGGUCCCUACACCUAAAAUGAAGCAUCAACAACUUAGUUAGUGUAGCGGGAGUUUAUCAAAAAAUAAUUUGAUUACCAGCUACCGUAGAUAAUAUAAUAGAGGCACCAACAAAUUUAACUUAAAAAUCGGAAUUGGAAAACAGUCUUUUUCAACAAACUCCCGGUACGCUAAUUAAGUUGUUGAUGCAUCGUUUUAUGUGUAGGGACCCUAAUCAUGCUACUGAAGAGGUUUGGUGCUAUUCUGAGCUAUAUUAAUGGUUUUGGAAGAUUUUCACAGUGCCCCUAACAAAUAACAUGGAGGCAAACAUUGCGCCGAGCAAACUCUAUGCUUGAUUUACAAUGAAAAAGGUAUCUGGGGGGCUUAUUUGAUGGGAUCACAUGCAAAAAAAAAAGACCCGGAAUUACACUUUAAGCAUCUAUGGCUGCGGCUGCAAAUUGUUUCUAAAACAUGGCACCCCUUAUGCUUUUUUGUCUCCAAGGCACCCUAUAAACCAAAACAAGUUUGACUCCCUGUAGGGCUAGGUGCUGUUUAUGAGGAUUAUGAGGACGAGGAUGUGAUGUGAAGGGUGACACCGAUUUGAAAGUUCAGCCAGUUACCCAAUGGGUGGAGUUUGUCCCACCCACUCAUUUGCAUUUUAAUAUUGUCUUCAUUGAAGCAAUUCAAAUGCAAAGAGAUAGCAUUUUAAUUGUAUAUCUGACUCAAAUAAUGUAUGCAUAUUAUGAACAAUAAAAAGCAUCAGUGAUAUUGCAUUUUCAUCAUCAA
Molecule: long non-coding RNA, 1371 nt
Organism: Gadus morhua (Atlantic cod)
Lineage: Eukaryota; Metazoa; Chordata; Actinopteri; Gadiformes; Gadidae
Exons: 2
Source: RefSeq, a predicted model, not a curated record